Molecule: ribosomal RNA, 496 nt
Filed under: uncultured bacterium
Lineage: Bacteria
Description: partial 16S ribosomal RNA
Rfam family: Bacterial small subunit ribosomal RNA
Source: RNAcentral
GAUGAACGCUGGCGGCGUGCCUAAUACAUGCAAGUCGAGCGAACAGACGAGGAGCUUGCUCCUCUGACGUUAGCGGCGGACGGGUGAGUAACACGUGGAUAACCUACCUAUAAGACUGGGAUAACUUCGGGAAACCGGAGCUAAUACCGGAUAAUAUAUUGAACCGCAUGGUUCAAUAGUGAAAGACGGUUUUGCUGUCACUUAUAGAUGGAUCCGCGCCGCAUUAGCUGUUGGUAAGGUAACGGCUUACCAAGGCAACGAUGCGUAGCCGACCUGAGAGGGUGAUCGGCCACACUGGAACUGAGACACGGUCCAGACUCCUACGGGAGGCAGCAGUAGGGAAUCUUCCGCAAUGGGCGAAAGCUUGACGGAGCAACGCCGCGUGAGUGAUGAAGGUCUUCGGAUCGUAAAACUCUGUUAUUAGGGAAGAACAAAUGUGUAAGUAACUAUGCACGUCUUGACGGUACCUAAUCAGAAAGCCACGGCUAACUACGUG